This 468-nucleotide ribosomal RNA is filed under the name uncultured bacterium. Its description in RNAcentral is "partial 16S ribosomal RNA". It matches the Rfam family "Bacterial small subunit ribosomal RNA", at positions 28 to 507 of the family's 1533-position model. The record is from RNAcentral.
GACGAACGCUGGCGGCGUGCUUAACACAUGCGAGUCGAACGGAAAGGCCCUGCUUUUGUGGGGUGCUCGAGUGGCGAACGGGUGAGUAACACGUGAGUAACCUGCCUUUGACUUUGGGAUAACUUCAGGAAACUGGGGCUAAUACCGGAUAGGAGCUCCUGCUGCAUGGUGGGGGUUGGAAAGUUUCGGCGGUUGGGGAUGGACUCGCGGCUUAUCAGCUUGUUGGUGGGGUAGUGGCUUACCAAGGCUUUGACGGGUAGCCGGCCUGAGAGGGUGACCGGCCACAUUGGGACUGAGAUACGGCCCAGACUCCUACGGGAGGCAGCAGUGGGGAAUAUUGCACAAUGGGCGGAAGCCUGAUGCAGCAACGCCGCGUGCGGGAUGACGGCCUUCGGGUUGUAAACCGCUUUCGCCUGUGACGAAGCGUGAGUGACGGUAAUGGGUAAAGAAGCACCGGCUAACUACGUG